AUGGUGUCGCCGGACGCUAUCCGCACCGUCAUCGGCGUCAUAGGCAAUGGAACCGCCUUGGUGCUCUUCCUAUCCCCAGUGCCGACGUUCAUCCAAAUCUGGAAGAAGAAGACGGUGGAGCAGUACUCGGCGGUGCCGUACCUGGCGACGCUGCUGAAUUGCAUGAUGUGGGUGCUCUACGGGCUCCCGCUGGUGCACCCGCACAGCAUGCUCGUCAUCACCAUCAACGGCACCGGCAUGCUCAUCGAGCUCACCUACGUCGCGCUCUUCCUCACCUUCUCCGUCGGCGCCGCCCGCCGCCGAGUCCUCCUCCUGCUGGUCGCCGAGGUCGCCUUCGUCGGCGGGGUUGCCGCGCUCGUCCUCUCCCUCGCCCACACCCACGACCGCAGGUCCAUGGUCGUCGGCAUCCUCUGCGUCCUCUUCGGCACCGGCAUGUACGCCGCGCCGCUCUCCGUCAUGAAAAUGGUGAUCCAGACCAAGAGCGUGGAGUACAUGCCCCUGUUCCUGUCCGUGGCCUCGCUCGUCAAUGGCAUCUGCUGGACUGCCUACGCCCUCAUCAAGUUCGACCUCUACAUCACCAUCCCCAACGGGCUGGGCGUGAUGUUCGCUGUGGGGCAGAUAAUCCUGUACGCCAUCUACUACAAGUCGACGCAGCAGAUCCUGGAGGCCCGCAAGCGCAAGGCCGACCAGGUGCCCAUGACCGAGGUCGUCGUCGACGGCAAGAGCGGCAGCGCCACCAACUCGGGCGCCGCCAACGGCCACUACUAG
RNAcentral lists this ribosomal RNA (768 nucleotides) under Triticum aestivum (bread wheat). RNAcentral's name for it is "partial small subunit ribosomal RNA". The record is from RNAcentral. Lineage: Eukaryota; Viridiplantae; Streptophyta; Magnoliopsida; Poales; Poaceae.